GCCGAGGCUCGUGUCAGUGGAAGCUGGGGUGUCGGCGGGCGGCCGCGGCCGGGUCUAGCGGUGCCUGCGGAAGAAGGAGGAGGAGGGCUGGCGAUGAGAAGCAGCAGGGGGAAUCAAGGGCAAGAAGGGACCCAGAGGGGCAGGUGGCUGAGAUGCUGGCGUCCAGGUGACCCGAGGAAUCCUCUGGAGAUACAGGCCCGCGCAUGCGCGUGCUCGAGCGCUGAAGCCCAUUGCCCGCAGGGCGCUGGACUGGCGCCCCGGCCGGCGAGGCUGUCUAGUCCAGGCUCCAGGCCCCGGCUCUGGCCAGGCGCCGCCGCCUCCCGGUGCAGCUGAAAGUCGACGAAGAGGGCGGGGCGGGGGCGGCUUGUGGACUUCCACACUUUUCCUCUCUUCGGGCCAGUCUGGGGAGAGGGUGGCUAGCUGUGGCGGCGGCCAAUUACGUGGCGGACCUGCGGGGCUAAGCUGGCACGUCACUUCCGACUAGUGGAGUUUUUAGCCUUUUAACAUUCAAGGAUUAGAGCUCCCUCUUUGCCCACUAGCAGGGCAUUAGCUGGUGCUGAAGACAGUGGCUGCUUGGCGAGCCUGGAUCUCCAAGUGACCCCCUCAGCAACUCCUGAUGAACAGGACUGAAGCCAAUAUUAAAGCAAGUCAACCAAAGGUUCUCUGGUGUAGACAAGACAGCAAAAGGACAGACUACCUUGUGGAACCUAGCAUUGUUCUCCUUCUGCAGCACUAAGUAACAUUUGUUCUCCGUUAAGAUCUUUGCAAACCACACACAAGAAUUGCUGGUCAUCCUGCCAAUAGAUGCUGCUCACAGAACCAAAUUUCCUGUGCUGAAUUGUCACUCAUGGGCUUGAGAGUAGGAGACUGGAGACCAAGGUGGCUAGAAUCCAGUUGGGCCUGAUGUCUCCCUGUUGAAAGGGCUCCUUGUGGAAUGAAUAGCACAUGGCUCCUGUGGUGGAUCUGAUAGUGGCAUAGCACCAAGUGAUGCAGGCCUGCCAGGGGCCACAGACACAGAAGAUGCUCCCGGGGUCCCCCAUGUACUCCAGACACACUGCAGGCCACCUCUCCCAGCAGGUUGCCAGUCAUGGGCCCCAUCAUCAUGACUUCUGUCCAAGGUACUGUGUGCAGAAAUGUGAUUGAGAUUCAAGUCAGGGCCUCUCUGCCCUUUUCCCUCCAGAAACAAAACCAAGAUAAUUUAUCCUGAACACGGUGAAAAAAGGAAGGGAGGGAGGAGAAAAAGUCCGGGUCUCACCUGGGAUUCUCUGUCUCCUGCAACAUGAAGGAUUUAGCCUGGGAGGAGGUGGUGAGAACUCUGGGAGAGAAAAAAGAAGGAAAGAAUAGUUUUACCCAUGCUGAAGUUAAUUUAAACCUUCACCUAGAGAAGCAAAAAAAAAAAACCCACACUUUCCCAUUUUGUGCCUCCCUUCCUAGAGUUUUAGCCAAAGGUUUAGCUAAGUAAUUGGUUUUACCAGCGCACUCACUCCUCCUAUCCCAAGUCUGUUUGACUCCCUCCCCAUCAUCCUCCUCACCUCUUUUCAGGCAGGGUGGGGAUAGCAGCAGGAGGAGAUUUUGGGAGCCUGGCAACUCCUGCAAGGACCGCAGGACAGCCCCUCUGUGGGGAUGCGUGGUGCCCCAUCUGCCGCCCUUCUGAAGAAUGCACUGCCUUCACUUUUUACUGUGUUAGAGUCCAUCCAGACUGUUCUAUCCAAAAAAGUUUCUUUUUCCCCCACAGGCAAUCAGGAAAUGAUUCCUUUCCCGACUGCUUCUGUCUAGUGCCUGGGAAUCUUGAGUCAAUCCCUCAGUAAGUCAGUGACUAGGGAAAUCCCUCUCUGAGCCUCCCAGUUCAUGUUGCUUAGGGAACCUGAUAUUUUCGUGAAACCUGCCUACACAUGGGCAGCCCAACAGCAGAACAAAUGGUGGUGACCAAAGUGAACAAAGAAGUAUAGUUGUGCCAGCUUCGUAGUUGCCCAUGUGGACAAGUCAGCAGGAUCAGGACACGAGGAAGAGUAAAUGUGAGACAGUCAAUGUGACUUCUGCGAUAAACAGAUUUUUAAACCCCGAAAUUUUGCAAAAUUUUGGUGAAACCUGAACUUUCUUCGUUGCAUAUACUGGCACUAUCUGUACCAUCAUACAACUGUCUCACAUUAAAGCUAUUUUUCUUGGGCACUGAUGAGUAAGGGACUUGCACUUAGGAAUCUGUUACAGUGAGCACAGAAGCAGACCUGUGGGCUCAUAGUCUUCACCCCCCACCCAUAUAUACAAGAUGAACAGAGUGGAGGUUAAACAACUUGACUAAACAACACAGUUCAUGGUAAAGCCCAAGACUGUACCUGCCCAUCCACUGCCUUUUCCAUGUAUCCUGGAACUGAGCAUAGACCUCUUCCCAGGCAGAGCUGACAGCAAGUAAAGGAGAUCAUAAUCAGGGGACCAAACAACUUUGUCUAAAGUGUGAAUGUCACCUAAGGAGAAGCUGUGAGAUCAGAAGGGUGGGGCAGAGGAGCAGACACCAUGAGGGAGAGUCCUUGGGGGUACAUCUGCCAGACUGACACUGUCUGGCCUGGGCAGUGGAGGGGCUAGCAGGAACCACAGGUACUGGUGGUGUGGCUACUACCGUUACAACUGCCUGUGCUUGGACAUGGACCCUCUGCAAUAUGCGGCAGUUUCAUUCAUUGCCCCCUACAUUCUACACCAAGUAGAAAUGGAAGGCAAUUGGAUACUUCACAGACAAGAUCUAAGUGGAGAAGGAAUGCGUCCUGUGGCUGCAGAGAUCCUUGGAGCUUGGAGGGGAGAGCUUGAGCCCCACUGAUGAUGACCUCCCACAGCUCGCCAACUCAGCCCUCCCUAAGUCCCCAUCGGGGGCCAAUUCUCACUCUGGGGUUGGGGGGACUCCACCAUAGCUCAUCCAUCAUAGGGAUGUUGGUAUCUACUGUGGGUUGGGUAGGGCCGAUGUGCUGAGGAUGGCUCCCCCACAAGCAAGAGAUGUGGAUUUGGGGAGCUUCCCAUCUUGUGUUGAAGGAACAUAACUCAGAAUAAUAAGAGCCAACUAUAACAAACCCACAGCCAACAUCAUACUGAAUGGGCAAAAGCUGCAGGCAUUCCCCUUGAAAAGUGGCACAGGAUAAGGAAGCCCUUUCUCACCACUCCUAUUCAAUAUAGUGUUGAAAGUCCUGAUCACAGCAGUCAGGCAACAGAAAUAAUAAAGGGCAUCCAAAUAGGAAGAGAGGAAGUCAAACUAUCCUUGUUUGCAGACAGUAUGAUUCUAUAUCUAGAAAACCCCAUAGCCUCAGCCCAAAAGGUCCUUCAUCUGAUAAUUUCAGCAAAGUUUCAGGAGACAAAAUCAGUGUACAAAAAUCACUAACAUUCCUAUACACAGUCGCCAAGCCAAGAGCCAAAUCAGGAGCACAAUCCCAUUCAUAAUUGCCACAAAAAAGAAUAAAAUACCCAGGAAUGCAGCUAACCAAGGAAGUAAAGGAUCUCUACAAUGAGAAUCACAAACGCUGCUCAAAGAAAUCAGAGAUGACACAAACAAAUGGAAAAACUUUCCAUGCUCAUGGCUAGGAAGAAUCAAUAUCAUUAAAGUGGCCAUACUACCCAAAGCAAUUUAUAGAUUCAAUGCUAUUCCUAUCAAACUAUCAAUUACAUUUUUCACAGAACUAGAAAAAACUUAAAAUUCAUAUGGAACCAAAAAGCCUGAGUAGUCAAGGCAAUCCUAAACAAAAAGAACAAAGGUGGAGGCAUCACAUUACCUAACUUCAAACUACAGGGCUACCAUGACCAAAACAGCAUGGUACUGGUACAAAAGCAGACACACAGACCAGUGGGACAGAAUAGAGAGCCCAAAAAUAAGGCCACAAACCUACAGCCAUCUGAUCUUCAACAAAGUUGACAAAAACAAGCAAUGGGGAAAGGUCUCCCUAUUCAAUAAAUGGUGCUGGGAUAACUGGCUGGCCAUAUGCAGAAGAUCGUAACUGGACCCCUUUUACUAUGUACAAAAAUUAAGAUGGUUUAAAGAGUUAAAACCCAAAAUUAUAAAAAUCCUGAAGAUAACUUAGGCAAUACCAUUCUGGACAUAGGAACUGGCAAAUAUUUCAUGAUGAAGACACCAAAAGCAAUUGUAACAAAAGCAAAAAUGGACAAAUUGGAUUUAAGAGCUUUUUCAUAGCAAAAUAAACAACAGGGCAGACAAUCUACCAAAUGACAGAAAAUUUUUGCAAACUAUGCAUCUGACAAGGGGCUAAUAUCUAGCAUCUAUAAGGAAUUUAAACACAGUUACAGGAAAAAAAAAACCCACUCCAUUAAAAAAUGGGCAAAGGACAUGAACAGACACUUUUCAAAAAAGACAUACAUACAGCCAACUAGCGUGUUAAAGAAAACCUCAAUUAUCACUGAUCAUUAGAGAAAUGCAAAAUCAAAACCAUGAUGAGAUAUCAUCUGCCAGUCAGGAUGGCUACAAAAAAGUAAAAAAAUAAUAGAUGUUGGUGAGGUUAUGGAGAAAAGGAACUUAUACACUUGUUAGGAGUGUAAAUUAGUUCAAUCACUGUGGACAGCAGUGUGGUGAUUCCUCAGAGAGCUAAAAACAACUACCAUUUGACUCACCAAUCCCAUUACUGGAUAUUUACCUAAAGGAAUAUAAAUCAUUCCACCAUAAAGACACAUGCAAGUGUAUGUUCAUUGCAGCACUAUUAACAGUAACAAAGCUGGGCACAGUGGCUCACCUCACGACUGUAAUCCCAGCACUUUGGGAGGCUGAGGUAGGCGGAUCACCUGAGGUCGGCAGUUUGAGACCAGCCUGACCAACAUGGAGAGACCCCAUCUCUACUAAAAAUACAAAAUUAGCCAGGUGUGGUGGCUCAUGCCUGUAAUCCCAGCUACUUGGGAGGCCAAGGCAGGAGAAUUGCUUGAACCCAGGAGGCAGAGGUUGCAGUG
RNAcentral lists this long non-coding RNA (4929 nucleotides) under Homo sapiens (human). Its description in RNAcentral is "HLA complex group 18". Lineage: Eukaryota; Metazoa; Chordata; Mammalia; Primates; Hominidae. The record is from RNAcentral.